AGAGUUUGAUCCUGGCUCAGAACGAACGCUGGCGGCAGGCUUAACACAUGCAAGUCGAACGCUCGUAGCAAUACGGGGAGUGGCGGACGGGUGAGUAACGCGUGGGAACGUGCCCUGAGGUACGGAAUAACUGCGGGAAACUGCAGCUAAUACCGUAUGAGCCCCGCAAGGGGGAAAGAUUUAUCGCCUUGGGAGCGGCCCGCGUCGGAUUAGCUAGUUGGUGGGGUAACGGCCUACCAAGGCUUCGAUCCGUAGCUGGUCUGAGAGGACGAUCAGCCACACUGGGACUGAGACACGGCCCAGACUCCUACGGGAGGCAGCAGUGGGGAAUCUUGCGCAAUGGGGGCAACCCUGACGCAGCCAUGCCGCGUGAAUGAUGAAGGCCUUAGGGUUGUAAAGUUCUUUUGCCCGUGACGAUGAUGACGGUAACGGGAGAAUAAGCUCCGGCUAACUUCGUG
RNAcentral lists this ribosomal RNA (458 nucleotides) under uncultured bacterium. Its description in RNAcentral is "bacterial SSU rRNA". It matches the Rfam family "Bacterial small subunit ribosomal RNA", at positions 8 to 507 of the family's 1533-position model. The record is from RNAcentral.